GUACAGUAGCAAGGAUUAAUUACUAAGCAGUUUGGAUUUCUCAACAAACUGGUAUGUAGUUAUUCGAACAUUUAUAUUUUAAAAAGUUGAAGCUGGAAGAGAAAAUACUUGCUCCCAUAGUCCAAUUUUAGAAGUUAAUGCCCUCAUCUUGAGGGAGUUAAAAAUAAAUGGCUAGGUAGUGCCUGAUGUCAGGGCGUACUCCAGAGAAAGUUAGGCAUAUCGGAACAAAGGCAUACCACUCAAAAAGGAUUUAAUGGGAAUUUGUUAUUGCAUAAAACAAUUUUGCAAACAAUGGAGAGGAGAAGGGUAUGGGUGGUGGGGAUUUGGAACUUUACCAAUGGAUCAAUGGGAUCUGUUUCAGGAAGGGAAUCAAAGUUGUGUUUUUAAAAAGCAAUAAAUAAAUGUUUCCCGCCUGUUACGGCUCUACUGGGUUAGUGGGGAUAUAAGUAGUAGGAUUAUGGUAUUAUAACUAUAAGGUCUUUUUAUUUUCUACACCAAUGAAAUUAUUAUCUUGCCAGAGAACUAUUUUAGAUCACCCCCACCCCUUUUAAAUUAAAAGUUCAUCACAAACUCAACUGAAAAAUGGGGAGGGGUGUAGGAAGGGGGACACACAGGCAUUUUACUUUUUAUCAAGCUAUGAGUACUGGGACCUCAUUUUUAUAUAAAAAGCACUGGGUGCAGAUAGGAUGUACACUGUGGAUAACAUGUGCACAACAAACCUGCUUUCCCCAAAGAUCAGACUUCUUGCGAUAAGGAAAGUGAUGGGGAAAUGUGCUGGAAAGUGUGGGACGACAUGUCACCUGGAAGCACCCAGAGAAAAUGGGUGAUUUCAGCUGGGCUGUGUUGUCCAAGCAGAAGCGGUUUUGUUUUCUUUGUUCACACAAUACAGCUUUGAAGGUAUACAUUUAGUCACACUACACUCUGUCAACCUUUUCUCACUGACCUUACCUCAACAGAUUAUUCUAAAAGAAGUAUAAGGGCAGCUCUAGGAAGACGCAGAAGGAAGCCAGGUUUUGUAAUCUGCACCACCCUUCACUGCACCAGAGGUAAAUCUGAGGUAUGCAGAUUUCAGACACAUCUGACAUACAGCUAGGAAAAAGGAACAAUCCCUUCCUUCUAUCCUAUUAACUCAUCUUUUAUUUUAAACUGCAGUUCUAAAACUUUAUGACAGAAACAACGUGGCAAAAUGAAAUUCAUCCAGGUAUUGAGUUCUAAAGGGUUUUUCUUGCUAUCAAUAGGAAUAUGAUGUCAUUGUUAUAGCUUAGUAAUGUAUAAUUAAUUAGCCAGUAAAAUGUGUUUUAAAUGUGUCGAACCUGCAGGUAAAAGUGCUGAUUCAUUUCUGCUCAAUAUCAUGAACAGACUUUUCCUCCUUUUCUUACACAUAGCACCACUUCGUAGCAGGAGUUCUGUUAGGCUCAUACUAAUCAUAAGAACAAUUUCUUUACAAUUGCCUUCUGUUCUAGUAGGCUUUUGUCUGUUAUGCAGCUUGAAAAUAAAUUUGGCACUCAAAACUGUAUGUUUUUACAAAAGAAGCAAUGUUCCCAUUAUAAUCAAUUUACUAUUCAACAGAAUUUUCAUCUUUAAUAUUUAUAUUUCUCAUAGAUUCUCUGGAUUCAUCUUUUCUAGAGGCCGAAGGCUAGGUUUUGUUCAUUCUUGAGCACUGUGGGAUAAAGUCUUUUUUUUUAAAAAAAAGACCUCUUCCUAGAUGUCUCAAAGCAGAUGUCGGGAACCUUUGACCCUCCAGAUAUUGUGAACUACAACUCCGAAUAGUUUUAAGAAACAUGGCUACUGGCUAGGGAUUAAAGGAGUGGUAGUUCAGUAACAUCUGGAAUAUUCUUUUGCCUCAAAAAUAUUAUCAAAGGCUAAAGUGGCAGGGAAAACCUACGGUAGGGCUGUGACUUACAAGACAAUCCUAACCAUGUCUUCUCAGAAACUGAGUAAGUCCUAUUGAACUCAACUGGGUUUACUCCUAGGUAUGUGGGGUUAGGAUUGUAGCUUUAGUAAACUUUUCUAACUAGCUUGGUUAGACAUUCUCUCUGGAGCUUCUUUUUCCUAAGGCUCAAUAGCAUUGCUGGUUUUAUUCAUUGGUCCCCAGAGCCUUUAGAAUCCCUCUGGGCCUUUUUCUUUGGGUGAACAGCAAAUGGUAUCCAGGACUUCAACUAAAAAGAGACUGAACUAAAAAUACUCUCUCCACCCCCAUCCUCCUUGUAAUCCUAAAGUAGCCUGGCUGCUACUAACAAAAAUAGAGAAAAUGUAUGCAUGACCACCCAGAACUCAUUUGUUUUAGUGCAUGGAUUCUAUAACAUAUUUAUUUAACCCCCCAUUUUCCAUAAAAUGAAUGCUCACGCCUUCUUUUAGUUCAAAAAGAGAGAGGACUCUAUAAUACAGUUACAAAUAAAUUCUGUGUAAGACGGGCUGGAUCCUGACAAGAUUGGAACUUUGUCUGCACAAUGGAGCUUUCCUGGCUCCUCCCCUCCUGCCAUGAGACCUCCUUGCAUUGCCCCCCCCAACUGCUCCUGAGUGCUUACGGGCUCAAAUAUUCCCAGAGCAGUACAUAACAAUCUAUUAAGAUCGAUCAGUAACAAUAACCAAAAAACUACCAACAGAGAAAAAUUAAAAGCUCUCUGCACAACGAGGCAUGGAGGCUGCAGAAGGAUUGGGAAAUUAAGUAAAGGCUGAUCCAUUACAGGGCAAAUGGAUGGUUGCCGCACCAAUCUCAGACAAUUGCCAGCCCUCACUUGUCUGCCAUCUUACCAUCAGUCAGUGGGUGGCUCUGACUGUAAUUGGCUUGGAUACGCCUACUGCUGGUCUCCCUGCAAGAACUUGGCAAGGCUGCAUUGUCAGAGGGCAACUGGUUUUCUUCUCAUGCAAGACAUCUCCAAAUCCAAGCCAAUUUCUUUCACAAUAAGUGGUGGAAAACAUAAGCUAUUGCCAUAGUUACUGCUAUUUAUGAUACUUUUUCGGGUUAUUAUAUAUAUUUUUGCAAUAGAACUGGAUACCAACUUUUCAUGUCAAAAAGGAGGAGAGCAAUAAAUGUAUACAAACAUUAAUGUAGUAUGUUUUUUUCUAAAUUCUCAUACAUGUAUUACACUUAUAUUGCACAAAUCGUUUCUGACAAACUAUAGCAGUUUUCUCAUCUUUAGAGCUGGAAUCAUCUUUUGAGUUUUCCACUCUAUGUUUUGCAGUUCAUUCUGCUGCUCACACUGAAAAACAGCCCAAUAACAGAAACCUAGUUGGUUAAUAAAUCUACCCAGCUCUUGGGACUAUGGAACAAAACUAUUUUGUAUGCUGAACUAAUGAAGCAAUGAUGAAAAGCAUUGGUUCUGGUGGAAGUGUAAUGACUCGAACAAGGGAGUCCUGAGCACAAUGCAUCUAAAUGGACAGAAAUUACUGUUAAUGGGUCACUCUAUUGAUUUUCAUCCAUGAAUGCUAGAGGAUGGCUAGAGACCAAGUAUCACUGAGUUGGUAAAGUGGCGUUUUGGCUGUGUCACUCCAGACGCUAGGUGUGGGCACAGAUGACAGAACGCUCUUCCUAAUGCGCACAAAAUGCUACCCAUGUAGAAAAGUAGCAUGCGGGUUAUCUAUAUGGAAAAGCUUGCUUGGAUGGGAAGGACAAUCAGUAAAGUGAACCUCCAUCAGCAGCACUGAAGUAUUACAGCUAAUGCACAAAAUUAGGAAUUCUAUGAAACUAAGCCCAUGUUUCUUACAGCCAGUUUCCUACUGAUUAUUUGCAAAAAAUAUAGUGUGAUAUGACGGUGAAUCCAGUGUUGCUGUUUUGGAUGGCACUGAGAUUUGGAUGGAGAAAGAGACAAAUUUGGAGUCAGUAUGGAUGGUAGCUAACAUGAAUGAGAAAAUGAGAUAGCCUUUAAUUACAGGUGAUUUAAAAUGAGUUGCUUUUUUGACCUAAAGUUAACCCAUGACAUCUGGUACAUUUCAGAACUGAAAUGGGACAUAAAUAACCUAAGAGGAGCCCAAUGGGAUCAGACCAGUGGCUCAUCUAGUCCAGCAUUCUGUUCUCACAGAAGUCAAUCAGAUGCCACCUUAUGAUCAGAAAUUUGAUUUAAAGAAUAUUCACCAAACUCUGAUUUUUGUUUUGCACAAAC
Podarcis lilfordi (Lilford's wall lizard) is the source of this 4103-nucleotide non-coding RNA. Lineage: Eukaryota; Metazoa; Chordata; Lepidosauria; Squamata; Lacertidae. The record is from the annotation of a GenBank genome assembly.